GACGAACGCUGGCGGCGUGCUUAACACAUGCAAGUCGAACGGAAAGGCCCUGCUUUUGUGGGGUGCUCGAGUGGCGAACGGGUGAGUAACACGUGAGUAACCUGCCCUUGACUUUGGGAUAACUUCAGGAAACUGGGGCUAAUAUCGGAUAGGAGCUCCUGCUGCAUGGUGGGGGUUGGAAAGUUUCGGCGGUUGGGGAUGGACUCGCGGCUUAUCAGCUUGUUGGUGGGGUAGUGGCUUACCAAGGCUUUGACGGGUAGCCGGCCUGAGAGGGUGACCGGCCACAUUGGGACUGAGAUACGGCCCAGACUCGUACGGGAGGCAGCAGUGGGGAAUAUUGCACAAUGGGCGGAAGCCUGAUGCAGCAACGCCGCGUGCGGGAUGACGGCCUUCGGGUUGUAAACCGCUUUCGCCUGUGACGAAGAGUGAGUGACGGUAAUGGGUAAAGAAGCACCGGCUAACUACGUG
Molecule: ribosomal RNA, 468 nt
Filed under: uncultured bacterium
Lineage: Bacteria
Description: partial 16S ribosomal RNA
Rfam family: Bacterial small subunit ribosomal RNA
Source: RNAcentral